RNAcentral lists this ribosomal RNA (773 nucleotides) under uncultured bacterium. RNAcentral's name for it is "bacterial SSU rRNA". It matches the Rfam family "Bacterial small subunit ribosomal RNA", at positions 8 to 798 of the family's 1533-position model. The record is from RNAcentral.
AGAGUUUGAUCAUGGCUCAGGACGAACGCUGGCGGUGUGCUUAACACAUGCAAGUCGAACGGAAAGGCCCUUCGGGGUACUCGAGUGGCGAACGGGUGAGUAACACGUGGGUGAUCUGCCCUGCACUUUGGGAUAAGCCUGGGAAACUGGGUCUAAUACCGAAUAGGACCACGCGCUUCAUGGUGUGUGGUGGAAAGCUUUUGCGGUGUGGGAUGGGCCCGCGGCCUAUCAGCUUGUUGGUGGGGUAAUGGCCUACCAAGGCGACGACGGGUAGCCGGCCUGAGAGGGUGACCGGCCACACUGGGACUGAGAUACGGCCCAGACUCCUACGGGAGGCAGCAGUGGGGAAUAUUGCACAAUGGGCGCAAGCCUGAUGCAGCGACGCCGCGUGAGGGAUGACGGCCUUCGGGUUGUAAACCUCUUUCAAUAGGGACGAAGCGCAAGUGACGGUACCUAUAGAAGAAGCACCGGCCAACUACGUGCCAGCAGCCGCGGUAAUACGUAGGGUGCGAGCGUUGUCCGGAAUUACUGGGCGUAAAGAGCUCGUAGGUGGUUUGUCGCGUUGUUCGUGAAAACUCACAGCUUAACUGUGGGCGUGCGGGCGAUACGGGCAGACUAGAGUACUGCAGGGGAGACUGGAAUUCCUGGUGUAGCGGUGGAAUGCGCAGAUAUCAGGAGGAACACCGGUGGCGAAGGCGGGUCUCUGGGCAGUAACUGACGCUGAGGAGCGAAAGCGUGGGGAGCGAACAGGAUUAGAUACCCUGGUAGUCCAA